This 433-nucleotide ribosomal RNA is filed under the name uncultured bacterium. RNAcentral describes it as "partial 16S ribosomal RNA". It matches the Rfam family "Bacterial small subunit ribosomal RNA", at positions 36 to 507 of the family's 1533-position model. The record is from RNAcentral.
CCCUCCCUCUGGCGGCAGGCCUAACACAUGCAAGUCGAGCGGGCAUUUCGGUGCUAGCGGCGGACGGGUGAGUAACGCGUGGGAACGUGCCCUUUUCUGCGGAAUAGUCCUGGGAAACUGGGGGUAAUACCGCAUACGCCCUUUUGGGGAAAGAUUUAUCGGAGAAGGAUCGGCCCGCGUUGGAUUAGGUAGUUGGUGGGGUAAUGGCCCACCAAGCCGACGAUCCAUAGCUGGUUUGAGAGGAUGAUCAGCCACACUGGGACUGAGACACGGCCCAGACUCCUACGGGAGGCAGCAGUGGGGAAUCUUAGACAAUGGGGGCAACCCUGAUCUAGCCAUGCCGCGUGAGUGAUGAAGGCCUUAGGGUUGUAAAGCUCUUUCAGCUGGGAAGAUAAUGACGGUACCAGCAGAAGAAGCCCCGGCUAACUCCGUG